Molecule: non-coding RNA, 2058 nt
Organism: Saimiri boliviensis boliviensis (Bolivian squirrel monkey)
Lineage: Eukaryota; Metazoa; Chordata; Mammalia; Primates; Cebidae
Source: RefSeq, a predicted model, not a curated record
UCACAUUUUCUUAAGAAUGAACCACUUUUGAAAAUAUGAGGCUGUGAAAAUCAUGCUAAAUUAUUAAGUUAACAAAACCUUUUUCUUAAAAAAAAAAAAAAAAAGCAUAGAAGUUGUAUGACCAUAGCCCAAGAAUGAUGAAACAGAGAGUGGGUUAAGAUCACACUGCUGCAGGUGAGUCGUGGACUGCCCCGACCUCCGCGAUGGCCUCUCUGCUCUCCAAGGACGCCUACCUGCAGAGCCUGGCCAGGAAGAUCUGCGCCCAGUCAGGCCCGCAGCCGCGGGCGCGCACGCGGGCUGGCAAAACUCAAGGCUCAGAAACUGCAGGACCCCCAAAAAAGAAAAGGAAGAAAGCGCAAAAGAAAUUCCGGGAGCGAGAAGAGGUUGCUGAGCACAAGGCCAAGUCCUUGGGGGAGAAGUCUCCAGCAGCCUCUGGGGCCAGGAAGCCUGAGGCAGACCAAGGGGAAGCAGCUUCAGCUUCCAGCUCAGCAGAGACCCCUGCAGGUGUCCUGGCCACAGAGCCUGAGUCUCUGUUUGCCCUGGAUGUUCAGCGGCAGCGAAUGCAUGAGGAGAUCCAAGAGGCCCGGGGCCAGGGCAGUGCCAAGGAGCUGUCCCCUGCUGCCCUGGAGAAAAGGCAGCGGAGAAAGCAGUAACGGGACCGGAAGAAGAGGAAGCGAAAGGAGCUGCGGGAGAAAGAGAAGGCCAGGAAGGCUGAGAAGGCCGCGGAGGCCCAGGAGCCAGUGGAGCCAAUCCCAGAGGGGGCCGGCAGGGAGCCUCGGGAGCCGCCGGGGCUGAUCUUCAAUAAGGUGGAGGUGAGUGAAGACCAGCCGGCCAGCAAGGCGCAGCGCAGGAAGGAGAAGAGGCAGAGGGUGAAGGGGAACCUCGCGCCGCUGACCGGGAGGAACUACCGGCAGCUGCUGGAGCGCCUGCAGGCGCCGCACAGCCGGCUGGACGAGCUGCGCGGCCAGGAUGAGGGGAAGACGCAGGAGCUGGAGGCCAAGAUGAAGUGGACCAGCCUCCUGUACAAGGCGGAGGGCGUGAAGAUCCGUGACGACGAGCGCCUGCUGCAGGAGGCUCUGACGCGCAAGGAGAAGCGCAGGGCCCAGCGGCAGCGCAGCUGGGAGAAGCGCACGGCCAGCCAGCGUGGUGGAGAAGAUGCAGCAGCGCCAGAACCGGCGGCGGUAGAACCUGCGCAGGAAGAAGGCGGCCCACGCCGAGCGCCGCCUGCUCAAGGCCCGCAGGGAGGGCUGCAUCCUGCCACAGGACCUGGAGCGCGCGGGCCUGACCUGAGCCUUUCCCGCCUGGGAGGUUCCCGGGGACCCUCUGAGUCCUUCAUGGUGGCUCAUCCCAGGAUCUCCGCGGACCUCGGCCCCUCCAUGUGAAGGGGACAGAGUCGUGCUCUGCUGAGUUGUGAGGGCUCAGGUCACCCGUGUGAAAGAGGAUCUUUCAGCGUCAUCCUUGAAAAUGGGACCCAGGGCCUUCAGACCCAGGGAAACGGUGAGUCAGACUGGGGCCCGGUCUUUCACGGGCCUGAAAGCUUCCCCGAAGUUUGCAGGGUCAGGGAGGAGGGAUGGUGGGGGUGGGCAGUCACUGCCUCUUCUCCCCUGCCUGUGUUCGCAGGAGCCACAGCACGGAAGAGAGUGGCCUGUAUUGCCAGGCCACCUUAGCUCACAAGCUCACAAGAACGACCCUGAGGUGUAGCGUAUGGGCACCUGGCACUCGGGAGUGGCAGGAGCAUGUCCAGGCAUGGGGCAUCCUGGGGCAGAACGCCAUGGCUCCUCCCCCUUCUCAUGGCUUCUGCCUGUGGGGGUCUCAUUCCUUUCUCUUCUUCACUGCUCAGAAUUUAGAGGGAGGAAGGGAGCUGUACCUUCCCAGAGUCCAUGCAUGUGAGUUGGGCCAUGUGCAUUGGCCCAAAGGAAAAGAGAAAGAAUAAAACUAGAGAGUGUGAGGCAAAUGGAAGCUGGAAAGUGGGAUGGAAGAAUUAAAUCCAAAGCCUCAGGCAGUCAGAUGAAUGCAGGUUGAAUCAACUCUGGCGAAUUUUAGUGGUAUACGGAUGAU